GCCAAGAUUUAAAGAGAAUAUAUAUAGCUAACAAGACUGUUCCAAUGUAAUUUUAUACUAAAAAAUAUUAUUUAGAAUAAAUGUGGAAACUAAGACAAUCUUUGAGUAUAUAAAAGAGGUGGAUUUUUUAUUUCUGGGAGAUGUUUUCUUCUGUAGUGGCUAGCUGUUUCUUGAAGAGCUUUUCCCGUCAAAUUAGCUCCUGAAGACGACCAGUUUGCCUUUUGAGCUUCAUCUGAUUUCCAGGCAACUCAGGUGUGCCUAUGGUGUUGGGUCUAACUCUAACUCUGGCUCCAGGUAGGUGCCUGCUGACAUGGAAGGUCUUCUGAAAGACAAAUUCCCAACUGAAGCUAAAAUCAUUCUGAGCAAUCAGAAUCUGCUUAGGUAGAGGAACAGGCGUACCUCUCUGCUCAGUUUCCAGAACUUCCUCAGCAAUCCAAUGAUUGCAGCUUGGGCUGUGUAACAAGCACAAAAGGUAGCUUUCUGUGUCAGGAAAUUCAAAAUCUUUCUUCUAAACUGUAAUUACCAACAAUAUUAUCCAUUGUUCUGUAAUGAGGCUUGAUAUUUUAAACUACAAAGGAGCACAUUUAAGAUAUAGACCAGCAUUGCUGGGCUUUGUAUGUCUUUCUUUUAAUUCUAGAAUUUGUAUUUUUUUCAGUUGAUUAGAAACCUGAAGGCAGGAACUCAUUCUAGAUAUACAAGUGCAUGCAGUAUGGACAUAUCAAAGGGAAUUAAUCUAUACAGAUACAGAUAAAAGAAGCAGGAACAACUGUAUAUAGGCAAUGGAUAAGAGAAGAGAGAAGACAAAAGGCAAGAAAGAAGUCAAAUACAAAUAAAAGAGAAUAUGAAAAGACUAUUGUAUUAUGUUAAUGCUAUGUGAAAUUAAAGUACUUUAAGAUCUUCGGAUGUAAGAUACUAUUUACAGUGAGAAGUUCUUGCUUGGGUGCAGGAGAGGAGCACAGAUGCCAGUCAGAGUCUGUGAGGACACCCACCUCUGCCCCUUGGUUUGGAAGGGAGCUGCACUGGAGCUCAACAAAGGCCCCACAUUCAGAUUGGCAGCGUGUUCAGAUUGGAUUUCCUAUCUACAGCUGCUCCACACUCCAUUUGCACCAUGUCCAAACAUCUGGCUUUAAUCUAUUAGAAGGCACCAUAACAAACCACCUCUGGCACCUCAUCUUCAAUCAAAAGAGGAAUGACUAUUCUCCAGAGUACCCAGCUCCACAUUGUUAACAUUCUGUCCCUGCCUAUCUUCACCUCACCUUACCUUAUUUUUUGUUUGUAUGAAGAAGUCUUUCCUCCUUUUGUAUUUUCUUUUAAUGGAAAUAAAAAUAAGAAAAUAAAAAAAAUCUAAAACUGAAUUCCUAAUUUUUCCAUCAGAGGUAGAAAGAGCAACUGUGUUUUUUCACCCUCUUUUAGAGGCCACUUUUAAAGCUAUAAAAAUAUUCUGUGUGGAUUGGACCAAACUAUGUUCUGGAGUAAACUAUCAAAGAUCAGCAGAGCUGCAUGGCAUUUCAGAUAGAAAGUUCAUGAACCUGUGUUCAAUUUGUAUGUUGUUUACCUGAUUUUUCUUUUCUUUUUUUUCUGAAUCCAUGCUUCAAUAUGUUAAUACAAAGUUCUGACUGUGAAG
RNAcentral lists this long non-coding RNA (1624 nucleotides) under Gallus gallus (chicken). Its description in RNAcentral is "lncRNA (ENSGALG00010018214.1)". Lineage: Eukaryota; Metazoa; Chordata; Aves; Galliformes; Phasianidae. The record is from RNAcentral.